Molecule: ribosomal RNA, 429 nt
Filed under: Gemmatimonadota bacterium
Lineage: Bacteria; Pseudomonadati; Gemmatimonadota
Description: Gemmatimonadetes bacterium partial 16S ribosomal RNA
Rfam family: Bacterial small subunit ribosomal RNA
Source: RNAcentral
UAGGGAAUCUUCGGCAAUGGACGAAAGUCUGACCGAGCAACGCCGCGUGAGUGAAGAAGGUUUUCGGAUCGUAAAACUCUGUUGUUAGAGAAGAACCAGGACGUUAGUAACUGAACGUCCCCUGACGGUAUCUAACCAGAAAGCCACGGCUAACUACGUGCCAGCAGCCGCGGUAAUACGUAGGUGGCAAGCGUUGUCCGGAUUUAUUGGGCGUAAAGCGAGCGCAGGCGGUUUCUUAAGUCUGAUGUGAAAGCCCCCGGCUCAACCGGGGAGGGUCAUUGGAAACUGGGAGACUUGAGUGCAGAAGAGGAGAGUGGAAUUCCAUGUGUAGCGGUGAAAGGCGUAGAUAUAUGGAGGAACACCAGUGGCGAAGGCGGCUCUCUGGUCUGUAACUGACGCUGAGGCUCGAAAGCGUGGGGAGCAAACAGG